This 1252-nucleotide ribosomal RNA is filed under the name Flavobacterium soli. Its description in RNAcentral is "bacterial SSU rRNA". It matches the Rfam family "Bacterial small subunit ribosomal RNA", at positions 96 to 1354 of the family's 1533-position model. The record is from RNAcentral. Lineage: Bacteria; Pseudomonadati; Bacteroidota; Flavobacteriia; Flavobacteriales; Flavobacteriaceae.
CGGCGCACGGGUGCGUAACGCGUAUGCAAUCUACCUUUUACAGGGGGAUAGCCCAGAGAAAUUUGGAUUAAUACCCCAUGGUAUUAUGGAAUGGCAUCAUUCUGUAAUUAAAGUCACAACGGUAAAAGAUGAGCAUGCGUCCCAUUAGCUAGUUGGUAAGGUAACGGCUUACCAAGGCGACGAUGGGUAGGGGUCCUGAGAGGGAGAUCCCCCACACUGGUACUGAGACACGGACCAGACUCCUACGGGAGGCAGCAGUGAGGAAUAUUGGUCAAUGGGCGCAAGCCUGAACCAGCCAUGCCGCGUGCAGGAUGAAGCAUCUAUGGUGUGUAAACUGCUUUUAUACGGGAAGAAACCCCGCCUCGUGAGGCGGACUGACGGUACCGUAAGAAUAAGGACCGGCUAACUCCGUGCCAGCAGCCGCGGUAAUACGGAGGGUCCAAGCGUUAUCCGGAAUCAUUGGGUUUAAAGGGUCCGUAGGCGGUCUGGUAAGUCAGUGGUGAAAGCCCAUCGCUCAACGGUGGAACGGNCCAUUGAUACUGCCAGACUUGAAUUUCCAGGAAGCAACUAGAAUAUGUAGUGUAGCGGUGAAAUGCUUAGAUAUUACAUGGAAUACCAAUUGCGAARGCAGGUUGCUACUGGUGGAUUGACGCUGAUGGACGAAAGCGUGGGUAGCGAACAGGAUUAGAUACCCUGGUAGUCCACGCCGUAAACGAUGGAUACUAGCUGUUGGGAGCAAUCUCAGUGGCUAAGCGAAAGUGAUAAGUAUCCCACCUGGGGAGUACGAACGCAAGUUUGAAACUCAAAGGAAUUGACGGGGGCCCGCACAAGCGGUGGAGCAUGUGGUUUAAUUCGAUGAUACGCGAGGAACCUUACCAAGGCUUAAAUGUAGAUUGACCGGUUUGGAAACAGAUCUUUCGCAAGACAAUUUACAAGGUGCUGCAUGGUUGUCGUCAGCUCGUGCCGUGAGGUGUCAGGUUAAGUCCUAUAACGAGCGCAACCCCUGUUGUUAGUUGCCAGCGAGUCAUGUCGGGAACUCUAACAAGACUGCCAGUGCAAACUGUGAGGAAGGUGGGGAUGACGUCAAAUCAUCACGGCCCUUACGCCUUGGGCUACACACGUGCUACAAUGGCCGGUACAGAGAGCAGCCACUGGGCGACCAGGAGCGAAUCUACAAAACCGGUCACAGUUCGGAUCGGAGUCUGCAACUCGACUCCGUGAAGCUGGAAUCGCUAGUAAUCGGAUAUCAGCC